Molecule: small RNA, 111 nt
Filed under: Pan troglodytes (chimpanzee)
Lineage: Eukaryota; Metazoa; Chordata; Mammalia; Primates; Hominidae
Description: retained intron
Source: RNAcentral
UGCAGGGCAGACGCACAAGAGCAGAAUCUCCGUGGGACAUCUCUCUGGAGCAUCAAUAUUACUGCAGUAUUUGGAAGAAACAAAUUUAAAUAAGUUCUAAGGUAAAGAAUG